GUCCUCGGUUUUCAUUUUCAACUGAACCAAUUCAGAGCACAUAGCUACAACCACAGUUGCUCUUCCAAUUCAUCCUCAUGUACACUCAUCAUAGCCCCUGGAGGCUUUCAGAAGAUGACCGGGGGGGAGGUACUGGGAGUGGGCGGGUAGGUGGAGCUGGGAGGGUCUUCUGUACCUGGCCAUCUGGCCGUGGCUUGCAGAAGGCAUAAAAGACUGCUCUCCUGGGAGUCUCUGACUCUCUCAGCUGGUCCUACUGCAUCCAUCUGCCAUUUUGUUCUUUGUUUGGUUUGUUGCACCUUACAACACACAUCAUACCAUUCAUUCACUCAUCCACACAGGGCAAACACGACUGAUGUCUUCUACAUUUACACACCCCACUAUUGCAUUUAUGUUUAGUUCAUUUGUGUUAUUAGUCUAUUUAGUUAAAUAAACCACUUUUUGGUUA
Long non-coding RNA from Perca fluviatilis (European perch), 445 nucleotides. RefSeq lists it as uncharacterized. The transcript has 2 exons. The record is from RefSeq and is a predicted model, not a curated record. Lineage: Eukaryota; Metazoa; Chordata; Actinopteri; Perciformes; Percidae.